Molecule: non-coding RNA, 98 nt
Organism: Malassezia japonica
Lineage: Eukaryota; Fungi; Basidiomycota; Malasseziomycetes; Malasseziales; Malasseziaceae
Source: the annotation of a RefSeq genome assembly
GUGGCUAUAGUAUAGUGGUCAGUACGUAUCGUUGUGGAGCAGUUGUCGCUUCUACAACAAUUACCGAUGAGACGCCGGUUCGAUUCCGGCUAGCCACA